UUUCGCAGUCACGAGGCACAAUUGCCCUUUUAAAGAAUUGUGUCCGAAAAUGAAUUAUUCUUUCCGUCGCUGGAAAAAGGGUUGUGAUCAAGGGUCACCCGAAAUAGCACCCCUUGAAGGAUAGACGGGGUGACGUUCGGUCCCCGCUACCUGUUGUCUCAUCAGACGAUUAUGUGUGUGUCUCCAGAAACAUCUGACGAGUGUGUUUAUAUGCGUGAUCACUGUGGCGUCUCUCGGAGGACUAGCGCUGGCCGCCAUUUUGAAAAAAGAGCUCCAUUCGAUUCGACGGAGGCUUGAUGUUAAUAUCAUAUUUCCAGUUUGGUAACUUGGAUUACGUUUCCCGUCUAGUUGCUAGACUUCAGCUGUUGCCUAUUUUUCUGAAAUGAAGAUGAGAUUUUUUUCAAGAUAAAGGUUCUGUGCCGCUCCGAAUCCUGGCGACCAGAAAAUUCCAGAGCAACCCUGACCCGUUCCAACCUUUCAUCUCUAUAAGCAGGUGCUCCAUCGGCCAGAAGUUUAUUGGUUUUCAAACCCUUUCUCUGAUCUCUUGGCAUUAUUUUCGCAAUCUCCCGCAGAGUAACAAAUAUGAAACAACCAAUGACAAAAACAUCGUAUAACUUCAUGUUUGUAACGAUGCUGUUUCAAUGACUAGCUGAAUGCAGAGCCCACAGGCAGAUAUCGGAUUUGUAGAAUGAACUGAGCAUGCGUAACUAUGACUUUUUAUAUUAGUAGAUAUUUAUUCCGGCUUAAGAUAAUUUAUUUCAGCUGAAAUUCGUAAUGAAAGAUUUUGGAAUGUGCCAAUUCAUCAUAAAGUUUGAGUGAUGAGUAUAAUCAAAUUGUCUACAUUUUGUUUGUAAAGUAUUUUAAAUAUACGUUUAUUCCUCUCACCUCCUCCCUCCAACGUCAAUUACAAAAAAAAAA
Long non-coding RNA from Uloborus diversus, 918 nucleotides. RefSeq lists it as uncharacterized. The transcript has 6 exons. Lineage: Eukaryota; Metazoa; Arthropoda; Arachnida; Araneae; Uloboridae. The record is from RefSeq and is a predicted model, not a curated record.